This is a non-coding RNA of Solanum lycopersicum (tomato), 402 nucleotides long. The record is from RefSeq and is a predicted model, not a curated record. Lineage: Eukaryota; Viridiplantae; Streptophyta; Magnoliopsida; Solanales; Solanaceae.
CUCAAUUAGAACAAAAAAUAAAUAGAAGUUCCUUCUCUCUAAAUUCUCUCUCUACUACAAUCCUACAUUGAGAAACCUUCAAGCUUCAAGGAAGAGGAUCUUUCUCAAAGGUUUCAACCCUAAUUUCGUGCCUAGGUCUUCAAUAAGGCAUGGAAGUUCUCAAUUCAAGGGAUCGGAGAUAUGGUAUGCUAUGGAGGUUGACUAGGUUUCUAAGUGGUUGAAGAUGAAGACUUGGUGAGUCAUCAUAGAUGAAAGGACAAUACCCUACAUGUUCCUUUAUGUCAUUUAGUCUUUUUUUAACUUUUAUAUGGGCUUAGUCCCAACUCUAAAGUAUUAGAUGGUUUGUGAGACAUACAUGUUGUAAAGUUAGAUGUUUUACAAAGUCUUCUGUUUGCUCAUUAA